CCGAGGGCUAGUUCCGUUGGUGGUCGCGGUUCCAGGCCGGGUCCUCAUGGCGCCUGCCCUUCCCGGUCCCUUUCCGCCUGCGGAGCCGGUCCUGGCGCCCUGGCCCUCGGAUCGUCAUUUCCACCGCCGAGCGCCCGGAGCUUAAGCCCCCGAGUGCGUUUUUGCCGGUGGAGCAGUCCACAAAGCAAAGCCUCCCCUCUGACCUGGCAAAUGAGACGUGGAAUCAGCGAAAGAAAAGCACCAGAAGUAAAGAAACUUUUACAGCUUUUGUUGAUUUGGCUGUUAACGCUGAUCCCCCGAAUCAAAAAAAG
Molecule: long non-coding RNA, 311 nt
Filed under: Sus scrofa (pig)
Lineage: Eukaryota; Metazoa; Chordata; Mammalia; Artiodactyla; Suidae
Description: lncRNA (ENSSSCG00035033477.1)
Source: RNAcentral